UACUGUAGUUGGCAGGCUGAGGGGGUUGGGUGAGAGGCUGUGCUGUAGUGUAGCUGGCUGGAGUAACUGAUUCACACUAUAGGGCCAAACUGAACCGAACUGAACUGGGCUGGUUAUUCUUUCACCAUAGUAGCUGGAACCGUGCUGGAAAGGACAAUGUGGAAAUAAAAUAUCUGAGUCGGUACAGUACAGGUCAGCCCUAUAGUUCAGAUCAGGCAGAGGAAGAUAUAGGCUAGGAAGGUCUUCAUGGUUUCAGGAAAGAUAUAGGCUAGGAAGGUCUUCAUGGUUUCAGGAAAGAUAUAGGCUAGGAAGGUCUUCAUGGUUUCAGAGAAGAUAUAGGCUAGGAAGGUCUUCGUGGUUUCAGGGAAGAUAUAGGCUAGGAAGGUCUUCGUGGUUUCAGGGAAGAUAUAGGCUAGGAAGGUCUUCGUGGUUUCAGGGAAGAUAUAGGCUAGGAAGGUCUUCGUGGUUUCAGGGAAGAUAUAGGCUAGGAAGGUCUUCGUGGUUUCAGGGAAGAUAUAGGCUAGGAAGGUCUUCGUGGUUUCAGGGAAGAUAUAGGCUAGGAAGGUCUUCGUGGUUUCAGGGAAGAUAUAGGCUAGGAAGGUCUUCGUGGUUUCGAGGAAGAGGCUACAGUAGAUCUUUAUGAGCCCAGUGAAGAGGCACCUUGCCGGGCAC
Long non-coding RNA from Oncorhynchus keta (chum salmon), 672 nucleotides. RefSeq lists it as uncharacterized. Lineage: Eukaryota; Metazoa; Chordata; Actinopteri; Salmoniformes; Salmonidae. The transcript is spliced from 4 exons. The record is from RefSeq and is a predicted model, not a curated record.